AACGAACGCUGGCGGCAGGCCUAACACAUGCAAGUCGAACGCCCUAGCAAUAGGGAGUGGCGCACGGGUGCGUAACACGUGGGAAUGUACCCCAGGGUAAGGAAUAAUGUCUGGAAACGGACACUAAUACCUUAUAAUGACUUUGGUCCAAAGAUUUAUCGCCCUGGGAUCAGCCCGCGUCUGAUUAGCUAGUUGGUGAGGUAAUGGCUCACCAAGGCAACGAUCAGUAGCUGGUCUGAGAGGAUGAUCAGCCACACUGGAACUGAGACACGGUCCAGACUCCUACGGGAGGCAGCAGUGAGGAAUAUUGCACAAUGGAGGAAACUCUGAUGCAGCCAUGCCGCGUGAGUGAAGAAGGCCUUCGGGUUGUAAAGCUCUUUUAGUCGUGAAGAUAAUGACGGUAGCGACAGAAAAAGCCCCGGCUAAAUUCGUGCCAGCCGCCGCCGUAA
Molecule: ribosomal RNA, 449 nt
Filed under: uncultured bacterium
Lineage: Bacteria
Description: partial 16S ribosomal RNA
Rfam family: Bacterial small subunit ribosomal RNA
Source: RNAcentral